Molecule: ribosomal RNA, 433 nt
Filed under: uncultured bacterium
Lineage: Bacteria
Description: partial 16S ribosomal RNA
Rfam family: Bacterial small subunit ribosomal RNA
Source: RNAcentral
AACGAACGCUGGCGGCAGGCCUAACACAUGCAAGUCGAGCGAGGACUUCGGUUCUAGCGGCGGACGGGUGAGUAACGCGUGGGAAUGUGCCCUUCUCUACGGAAUAGCCCUGGGAAACUGGGAGUAAUACCGUAUACGCCCUAUUGGGGAAAGAUUUAUCGGAGAAGGAUCAGCCCGCGUUGGAUUAGGUAGUUGGUGGGGUAAUGGCCUACCAGGCCGACGAUCCAUAGCUGGUUUGAGAGGAUGAUCAGCCACACUGGGACUGAGACACGGCCCAGACUCCUACGGGAGGCAGCAGUGGGGAAUCUUAGACAAUGGGGGCAACCCUGAUCGAGCCAUGCCGGGUGAGUGAUGAAGGCCUUAGGGUUGUAAAGCUCUUUCAGCUGGGAAGAUAAUGACGGUACCAGCAGAAGAAGCCCCGGCUAACUCCGUG